This 376-nucleotide ribosomal RNA is filed under the name uncultured bacterium. RNAcentral's name for it is "bacterial SSU rRNA". It matches the Rfam family "Bacterial small subunit ribosomal RNA", at positions 524 to 898 of the family's 1533-position model. The record is from RNAcentral.
UACAGAGGGGGCAAGCGUUAUUCGGAAUUAUUGGGCGUAAAGAGCGCGUAGGCGGUGUUUUAAGUGAGAUGUGCAAUCCCCGAGCUUAACUUGGGAACUGCAUCUCAUACUGGAACGCUAGAGUACCGGAGAGGGUGGUAGAAUUCCACGUGUAGCGGUGAAAUGCGUAGAGAUGUGGAGGAAUACCAGUGGCGAAGGCGGCCACCUGGACGGUAACUGACGCUGAGGUGCGAAAGUGUGGGUAGCAAACAGGAUUAGAUACCCUGGUAGUCCACGCUGUAAACGAUGAACACUUGGUGUGGCGGGAGUUGACCCCUGCCGUGCCGUAGCUAACGCGAUAAGUGUUCCGCCUGGGGAGUACGGUCGCAAGGCUGAA